Vicia villosa (hairy vetch) is the source of this 2178-nucleotide long non-coding RNA. RefSeq lists it as uncharacterized. The transcript has 5 exons. The record is from RefSeq and is a predicted model, not a curated record. NCBI's taxonomy places the organism in Eukaryota, Viridiplantae, Streptophyta, Magnoliopsida, Fabales, Fabaceae.
CAUAAAUAAUUGUUUCUAGUGGUUGUUUUCUAAAUGAAUUGUGUUGAGUCUUGAUGCAGCAUUUUAAGGCCCUCUUUGUUGGUGGUUGCAUCUUAUAUUUCCAAAUUGAAAAGUUGUUAAUAAGUGAGAAUCAUGAUAGCUCCUCAACAAUUCAAGAACCAUGAGCAGAUUAUCACAGUAUCGGGGUUCACCGCACUGUUGACAGUUUGGGAAUGUUUGAGUUUGAACCUUGUCACCCUCAUAAUUGGUCCACAGUGUAAAAAAAGUGUACAUGUUUGUAAUUUAACUUAAAGCAUGUCCUGAUUGUGAAGCAAUAAGCUUUCAAGGGAAAUUCCUAUGUCUGCCAUUGAUAAUUCCAUGUCUCCUUCGGAGAAACGGCCUAGAGGAUGCCCACCUUGAAGUGGAAGGAAACAACAACUAGCUGCUCUAGGUGAAUGGAUGAACAGCUUUGCUGGCCAGGCCUUUUCACCACAUGUUAUCACCAUUGGAGUUGAGGAGGGGUAUGCUUGACAGGGGAAGCAUAUUUACCUAACUUAUUACUGGUAGAUUGAUCUCAGCUCAUACUAAAUCUUUCCGUCUCUAUCACAAUGUUGUUGCAUGCUAUCUAAAGCUGGGAGAAUGUUGUUGCAUGCUAUCAGAAUCUUUCCGUCUUUAGACUUGUAAUAAGGUAUGCUCCAUGGCCUCAGCUAUCGUCUAGGCUUUAUUUAUUUGAUUGAAAUAAAGUUAAUAAACAGAAUAGCAUAUAGCAAUAUCUUACUAUGUUUUAAGCCUGUUUCGAACAAAUCUUUUAAAUCUAAAACUUACUAAAGUUAAUAAACUGAAACUUACUAUGUUUUAAGCCUGUUUUGAACAAAUCUUUUAAAUCUGAAAAAGACUCAAACUGUAGCUUGAAGAAAUGUGAAUGUUACUACCCACACAUUUAUCAUAUAAGACUUUCUUUUAGGAAGUGACUCACAAGACUAACUUAAUCCACUGAAAUUCUAGUUUCACAAGCAAUGAAAUUGUAACAACGAGGCAAAGUGGGUGCACAAACCUUUAUUUUUCUUUCUCAAAUGUACUUUGACCAAUAAUUUAAUUAACAACAAAUCUAAGAUCCUAAAGAAUAAUAAAUUUACUUAUAGCUUCAUAAUAUUUUUCACAUACUUGAAAAGUUUGGCAGCUGUGGCAUAAAUUUGCAUUUGACUCAUCUCCCCGUACUUGCUAAUCUCAUUGUGACAAGUUUCUAAGAGAGAUCCUCCUUGCAGAAACUUCAAACCAGCUUCAAAGUAGGUCUCAUUGCUUUCAAAAUCAAAUCCGGAGUUCUAUGAAAUUAACAGUAUUACAUCAUCGGUUAGAAAAAGAAAGGUGGAAUUUUCAAACAAAGUGAAGUAAAAUCUUGAAAUGAUCAAUUAACCUUAUAGUUGCAGGCAGGAAGCUUUAGAGAGAUAGAAGAUGUUGCACCCUUGAAGGAGAAAUUGGGAAGGCCAUUAUCAAAGCAAGAAAGAAGUGGGAUAGGUGUGAGCAAACUUAGGCUGCUUCUGGAAGAAAUACUACAAAAGAGGUUUGUGAAAAGUGAACCUGCUUUAGUUCCACAAUGGUUGAGAAGUAAUGGAAGUGUUACUAGUUCAGCCCACCAUUUUGCAUCUUCAUCUAAUCACAUUGAUACUCAUACUGUAGCUCACUCAAGGAAUAGGUCUUCUAAGACAACUAGUGAUUUUGAUAGUCCUCGUUCUGUGUUUCUUGAACGGGCAUUUUCGUCAUAUUCUCGGAGGGGCACUAUCAACGGCUCGGUAUGGUUACCAUUGAUACAUGUGGCUCUUUCUUGUAAUAAUUUCUUGUGUCUUGUUUUUUUGCAUACAGAAAACAAUUGCUUCUCCAGGACGUGGUAUUUUGGCCAUGGAUGAAUCCAAUGCUACAUGUGGAAAGCGGUUGGAUUCAAUUGGACUAGAGAACACCGAAGCUAACCGUCAAGCAUGUAAAAUUAUAUAUGAAGAAAGUGUUAUGACUUAGUUAAAAUAUAAUUUUUAUGUGUAUGAUUUUAUAAUACUUGAAAUAUUAUGACUGUACAUGAUUUUGUAUACUUUUUGGUUAAUAUUAAAAAUAUUUUGACUUAGUUAAAAUAUGAUUUUUAUGUGUAUGAUUUUAUAGUAUUUAUAAUACUAUGACUGAAAAUAAAAUAUAACUAAAUGGUGUUUAUGA